AUUGAACGCUGGCGGCAGGCCUAACACAUGCAAGUCGAGCGGCAGCGGAAAGUAGCUUGCUACUUUGCCGGCGAGCGGCGGACGGGUGAGUAAUGUCUGGGAAACUGCCUGAUGGAGGGGGAUAACUACUGGAAACGGUAGCUAAUACCGCAUGACCUCGAAAGAGCAAAGUGGGGGAUCUUCGGACCUCACGCCAUCGGAUGUGCCCAGAUGGGAUUAGCUAGUAGGUGAGGUAAUGGCUCACCUAGGCGACGAUCCCUAGCUGGUCUGAGAGGAUGACCAGCCACGCUGGAACUGAGACACGGUCCAGACUCCUACGGGAGGCAGCAGUGGGGAAUAUUGCACAAUGGGCGCAAGCCUGAUGCAGCCAUGCCGCGUGUGUGAAGAAGGCCUUAGGGUUGUAAAGCACUUUCAGCGAGGAGGAAGGCAUCAUACUUAAUACGUGUGGUGAUUGACGUUACUCGCAGAAGAAGCACCGGCUAACUCCGUGCCAGCAGCCGCGGUAAUACGGAGGGUGCAAGCGUUAAUCGGAAUUACUGGGCGUAAAGCGCACGCAGGCGGUUUGUUAAGUCAGAUGUGAAAUCCCCGCGCUUAACGUGGGAACUGCAUUUGAAACUGGCAAGCUAGAGUCUUGUAGAGGGGGGUAGAAUUCCAGGUGUAGCGGUGAAAUGCGUAGAGAUCUGGAGGAAUACCGGUGGCGAAGGCGGCCCCCUGGACAAAGACUGACGCUCAGGUGCGAAAGCGUGGGGAGCAAACAGG
Molecule: ribosomal RNA, 759 nt
Filed under: uncultured Enterobacteriaceae bacterium
Lineage: Bacteria; Pseudomonadati; Pseudomonadota; Gammaproteobacteria; Enterobacterales; Enterobacteriaceae
Description: bacterial SSU rRNA
Rfam family: Bacterial small subunit ribosomal RNA
Source: RNAcentral